UUGACUAUAGUAUAUGCACGUUUAUGGUGUACCCUGUUUUUGAACGUGUUUAACAUCGAAAAGCGUUUUUAACAUCGAAAAACGUAAAAGUAUGUAUUGUUUUAUAAGCGGGUGCAAAUCUUCAAGAUAUAAACGUAAACAUGCCAUCGAAAACAAACCGGUUUUGCCGUUUUACAAAUUUCCAAAAAAUCCAUUGUUAAAACAGAAGUGGGUGGAUGCUAUAUAUAAUAUGAAUCAUCAAGAAAGUGUCCUGCAAUUGCCGAAUCACGCAAGAAUUUGUAUUCAACAUUUUGAUGACACUUGCAUUGAACAAUUUGGUUCCACCCAAAUACGACUGAAACAAAAUUCUGUGCCAUCAAUAUUUCCAAAUGUAUUGAAUAGAAAAAGUUAUGAAAUAGAAUUAUCUUCGAAUGAAGAUUGCACGGAGGAAAUGGAACACGUUAUGGACUCUUCUGACAUGGUGUGCAUUGAACAAGGAAAUAUAGUUAAUAAUUCAAGUUUGGAAAUGGAAACUCCAAUGCAGGAAAAUUGCACCGAGAAUGUGGAAUCAGGUUCGUGCGACAUGAUGCAACAAGAAAGCAAUGAAGAGGUUCCUAGUUCAAGCAAUGAUGCUAAUAUUGACAUGGAAUCUGUCACUGCUUUGGUAGCGACUGCAAAUACUGAGUUGAGAUAUCCAGCUCAAAUCAGAAAAGAAAAUUUACUGCAAAUGUCACCAAGGUCGCUUAUCAAAGCUGUAUGUAUAUUGAAAGACGCUUACGACAAAAAAACACAAAUAAUCAAACGACUACACCUGCGACAAUGUCGACAAAAAAAAAAAGAAUUGAAACCCUAGAGAAGUUGUUGUCCGAAUUAUCCAAACGGAACCUUCUUUCAGAAAAUGCUUCGAAUAUGGUACAGGGUUUAACAGAAAAGUCCACUAUAGUACAAGCAAUAGAAAGUGGGAAAAUAAAAG
This is an RNA transcript of Trachymyrmex cornetzi, 952 nucleotides long. It is a transcript of the gene named 52 kDa repressor of the inhibitor of the protein kinase, with no coding region annotated. The transcript is spliced from 6 exons. Lineage: Eukaryota; Metazoa; Arthropoda; Insecta; Hymenoptera; Formicidae. The record is from RefSeq and is a predicted model, not a curated record.